AACUUUCAGCAACGGAUCUCUUGGCUCUCGCAUCGAUAAAGAACACAGCCAAAUGCGAUAAGUAAUGUGAAUUUCAGAAUUCAGUGAAUCAUCGAAUCUUUGAACGCACCUUGCGCUCCUUGGUAUUCCGAGGAGCAUGCCUGUAUGAGCGUCAUGAAAUUCUCAACAGCUUCAACUUUGGGGUUGAAGUGAAGUUGGAUUUUGGAGGAUAAUUGCUGGCGCAACUUGUGGGUUGCUUGUUGGCACCUCUUGAAUGAAUGAGCGCUUUCCAUGGUGAAGUAAUGCUGAUGUGAUAAUUAUCUACAUUGGAUGUGAACCACCUGUAAGGAAGAGUGUAUGUAACAUCUUGGGGAAAAUGCUCCUUGAGACUGAAUAAUCAAUUUGACCUCAAAUCAGGUAGGACUACCCGCUGAACUUAAGCAUAUCAAUAAGCGGAGCC
This 439-nucleotide unclassified non-coding RNA is filed under the name uncultured Thelephorales. RNAcentral's name for it is "sequence contains ITS2". The stretch from base 1 to 154 matches the Rfam family "5.8S ribosomal RNA". Lineage: Eukaryota; Fungi; Basidiomycota; Agaricomycetes; Thelephorales. The record is from RNAcentral.